Molecule: ribosomal RNA, 422 nt
Filed under: uncultured bacterium
Lineage: Bacteria
Also listed under: 2 other names
Description: bacterial SSU rRNA
Rfam family: Bacterial small subunit ribosomal RNA
Source: RNAcentral
UGAGGAAUAUUGGUCAAUGGGCGAGAGCCUGAACCAGCCAAGUAGCGUGAAGGAUGACUGCCCUAUGGGUUGUAAACUUCUUUUAUAAAGGAAUAAAGUCGGGUAUGGAUACCCGUUUGCAUGUACUUUAUGAAUAAGGAUCGGCUAACUCCGUGCCAGCAGCCGCGGUAAUACGGAGGAUCCGAGCGUUAUCCGGAUUUAUUGGGUUUAAAGGGAGCGUAGAUGGAUGUUUAAGUCAGUUGUGAAAGUUUGCGGCUCAACCGUAAAAUUGCAGUUGAUACUGGAUAUCUUGAGUGCAGUUGAGGCAGGCGGAAUUCGUGGUGUAGCGGUGAAAUGCUUAGAUAUCACGAAGAACUCCGAUUGCGAAGGCAGCCUGCUAAGCUGCAACUGACAUUGAGGCUCGAAAGUGUGGGUAUCAAACA